CGUAGGGGGCAAGCGUUGUCCGGAUUUAUUGGGCGUAAAGCGCGUGUAGGUGGCCAAGUAGGUCCGCUGUGAAAACUCGAGGCUCAACCUCGAGAUGUCGGUGGAAACCCCUUGGCUAGAGUCCGGAAGAGGAGAGUGGAAUUCCUGGUGUAGCGGUGAAAUGCGCAGAUAUCAGGAAGAACACCAAUGGCGAAGGCAGCUCUCUGGGACGGUACUGACACUGAGACGCGAAAGCGUGGGGAGCGAACAGGAUUAGAUACCCUGGUAGUCCACGCUGUAAACGAUGGGUGCUAGGUGUGGGCGGUGUCGACUCCGUCCGUGCCGAAGCUAACGCAUUAAGCACCCCGCCUGGGGAGUACGGCCGCAAGGCUA
Molecule: ribosomal RNA, 372 nt
Filed under: uncultured organism
Description: bacterial SSU rRNA
Rfam family: Bacterial small subunit ribosomal RNA
Source: RNAcentral